Molecule: long non-coding RNA, 246 nt
Filed under: Coffea arabica (coffee)
Lineage: Eukaryota; Viridiplantae; Streptophyta; Magnoliopsida; Gentianales; Rubiaceae
Description: long non-coding RNA (CARA_LNC007722)
Source: RNAcentral
GGAGGACCUAGUAACUCAUUUCCAAAUCAGUUCAACAAUGCAAGAAACAAAGGAAAGUAAGAGACCAAUAAAAAAUAAGCUGAUAAAUGCUGCGAAUGCGAUCAACUUGGACACUACAUGAGUGAGUGCCCAAUGAAGAAGAAGAAAGAAGAAAAAGUUGAACGAAAACCUAAAUUCAACAACUUUCAAAUCACAUGAAAUGACUGCAACUCAGAUGGUGAUGUUGAAGAGGAAGAAGAAUCUGCU